RNAcentral lists this long non-coding RNA (326 nucleotides) under Nicotiana benthamiana. Its description in RNAcentral is "long non-coding RNA (NBEN_LNC010348)". The record is from RNAcentral. Lineage: Eukaryota; Viridiplantae; Streptophyta; Magnoliopsida; Solanales; Solanaceae.
GUUUUGAUGAAUGACAAACUAUGCGCAAAUUGACAUAUGACGAGGUCCAAGCACAAGCGCAAAAUUGAUAUACAACGAGAUCCAAGCACAAGCGCAAAAUUGAUAUACAACGAGAUUAAGCACAAGACAAAGAUCGAGAUUAAGUUUUAUAUGAGUCGGUAUUUAAUUGUGAUCUUGAUCCGACAACUUAUACUCAAGACUUGGCUUCUCUCGUAAAAAUAUUUUUAACAAAUCAUGCAUAUAUAAUUUAGAGCAAAAUGAUUUUAAAUAAUGCAUAUUUACUUUAGUCAAAAUGAUUUUUAAACAUGCCUCUAAAAUCUGGACUA